CCUACGGGCGGCAGCAGUGGGGAAUAUUGGACAAUGGGGGGAACCCUGAUCCAGCCAUGCCGCGUGUGUGAAGAAGGCCCUCGGGUUGGAAAGCACUUUCAGUGAGGAAGAACGCCUGGUGGUUAAUACCCAUCAGGAAAGACAUCACUCACAGAAGAAGCACCGGCUAACUCCGUGCCAGCAGCCGCGGUAAUACGGAGGGUGCGAGCGUUAAUCGGAAUUACUGGUCGUAAAGCGCGCGUAGGUGGCUUGAUAAGCCGGUUGUGAAAGCCCCGGGCUCAACCUGGGAACGGCAUCCGGAACUGUCAAGCUAGAGUGAAGGAGAGGAAGGUAGUAUUCCCGGUGUAGCGGUGAAAUGCGUAGAGAUCGGGAGGAAUACCAGUGGCGAAGGCGGCCUUCUGGACUGACACUGACACUGAGGUGCGAAAGCGUGGGUAGCAAACAGGAUUAGAUACCCCAGUAGUC
RNAcentral lists this ribosomal RNA (465 nucleotides) under Vreelandella stevensii. RNAcentral's name for it is "partial 16S ribosomal RNA". It matches the Rfam family "Bacterial small subunit ribosomal RNA", at positions 338 to 795 of the family's 1533-position model. The record is from RNAcentral. Lineage: Bacteria; Pseudomonadati; Pseudomonadota; Gammaproteobacteria; Oceanospirillales; Halomonadaceae.